Molecule: long non-coding RNA, 1258 nt
Filed under: Salmo salar (Atlantic salmon)
Lineage: Eukaryota; Metazoa; Chordata; Actinopteri; Salmoniformes; Salmonidae
Description: lncRNA (ENSSSAG00000088476.1, ENSSSAG00000101268.1)
Source: RNAcentral
GUGAGAUAGAGGUGGAGAGUAAGAGGAGGGGGAGAGAGAGGGGACAGAAACAGGUAAGGGGUGAGGUAGAGGUGGAGAAUAAGAGGAGGGGGAGAGAGAGGGGACAGAAACAGGUAAGGGGUGAGGUAGAGGUGGAGAAUAAGAGGAGGGGGAGAGAGAGGGGACAGAAACAGGGAAGGGGUGAGGUAGAGGUGGAGAGUAAGAGGAGGGGGAGAGAGAGGGGACAGAAACAGGUAAGGGGUGAGGUAGAGGUGGAGAAUAAGAGGAGGGGGAGAGAGAGGGGACAGAAACAGGGAGAAAGUGGGAAAACAAGACAGGAGAAAGAUACGGAUGAGAAAAGGUGCAAAGACAACAGGAAGAUGGAUGAGUGAACCUAAACGACGUCAGUAGGCAAUUAAUUAACAGUGUGUGUGUGUGUGUGUGUGUGUGUGUGUGUGUGUGUGUGUGUGUGUGUGUGUGUGUGUGUGUGUGUGUGUGUGUGUGUGUGUGUGUGUGUGUGUGUGUUAACAACAGAUAGAGGUGUGUUUGUGUCUGGUGAUAAUCAACCUAUCCUCGUGUCAGACACCAGCAACACUAAUCACAUACAACACUAACUAAUGGAAAGAUACAGAGAGGAAGCUGGCGGGGGGAAACCUACAGCCUGAUAUUCUAGUACGCUAAACAAUAAACCAAGAUCAAAGUAAAUUGGUUCUCCUUGAAGGAAAGGUUCUGUCUGCAAAGGAAGGGUUUUCCUUCCUGUCGGUAUUAUUCCCAUGUCAGAACUGUUGAGGGGAUGACUAUGAAUGUCUUGUCCUUCUAACCUGAGAAUAGAGCCCCCUCCUCUGACCCCAUCUGUUGUCUUUGACUGAGACAUUAAGUUCCAGGCACAUCGUUGCCUUGUUUUGUAUCACAUUCCCCACAUCCCCAGUGAAAGUUGCACCCUUGAUAUAAUGAGUCUGCAGCACUAAAUAGAUGUAUUGAUGGCAUUGAUUUGAUAGGUCAUUCAACAAAUCUUACAGGUUGUUUAAUAGCUGCGUUAAGGUUAUGGUGGUAAGUUAACCCCAAACAACAGCAUGGAGACACCCUACACUUCCAUGUAGGUAUUUCAAGGUUGACAUCGUUCUCUAAACAAAAAUACAGCUCACUCUAAGAUUAAAUAGGGAAAAACGACAUUUAAAAAGUCCUAAACAGAAAUUUAAACACACAAUCCUAGACAGCUUUUCUCUCUGGAGGCUCAUAUGAGCUCCCCAAACCAAGACUGCUCUGAAGUGAGUUAGCU